AUUAUCGGGGGCCCCAGGCUAGUGCCUAGUUGUGCCUAUUGGGUAAUCCACCACUGCGGGUCACCGAUACUAUUUAGAGUGACCCAGCUUCGGCUAGGCCGGACCGAAUGGGGCUGGUGGCUGCCAUUCUCACUUAAAAAAUUGUGGGCCCGACGGUAACCAAGGAAAAGCUUUACUUGCUACCGGGCAUAUCGGAAGCGGUGGGUUUGGGCCUUUUUUCCGGGCGGGGACGAAAACCGUUUAGGCCGGAGCCUUAUAACAUUUCUUUUUAAUCAAAUUUAGUACGGGGCCGGCCCGCCAAUUAAAAAAACGAAUCCCUUCCACUCCGUUUAAGUACGGCCGGUCCAGUCGGCCCCUUCUCACCGGACUGGACGCGCUUCCCGAUCCAUUCGCCGUUACUCUCCACCUCUUCUCGGUACGGUGAUGACUUAUUCGUUUUUAAAAUGACCGGAGAAGGCCGGCCGGGCCUAACUACUCCCGUCCAACUUUCCGGGCGGAAAGAAGCGAAAAUCAAACCGAAAACGGACCAAAAGGGUUAAACUACGGUAGAUCUCUAAGCGACGCUUAUAAUAUCCGGCCUCCAGCCCGCCAUAGGAAGAAAGUAAGCCGAGAAGUCGGGAUAGAGCCGCUACCGUCGCCUCUACUCGGGUCUGGGUGGUGGUCUUACCUUCCGAAACGGUGGACUCGGUAGCCGUGGUGAGUGGCGGCCCGCCCCUUAAGCUUCGGGCCCGGCUUGGACCGAUUUUUUCCCUCAGUGGUUUUUCCGGGAUAGCCUAGAUUUCUAAAAAGAAAAGCGCGUGGGGCAGCCAUCCAUCCUUAAACCCGAUGGUCUGUCGUCUGUACCGGUAAUCCGACGGAAUCCAAAGUUUGGCUAAAAGUUGGAGCCAAAAGAUAAAGAUGGUGUAGGGAAUUGGAUGGAAAAGGCGGAGCCGUACGCUGGACCAGAGACCGCCCGGAUCUCGGCUCCAACUGGAGAUACAUUUUAGUCAGUCCCAAAUGGCGUCGGAACCUUCUAAAUUCCACGGAAAGAGACGCGUGGCGGCCCCAGACCGUCCUUUCCUCCCCAACUCCGGAUGGGGCCGGAAGAACGGAAAUUGUCGGACGGCGCCUACUGGAAUGGGAACCGGGUCGUAUAAUAUACGUAUAUGAAUACUUUAACCUGGAUAAGCGAAAUGGCGGCGACUUUCUGGUAAGAAGCGAUUAAGAGUUUCUACCUGGGAAAUAAUGGGAAAGUGAUUUCCCAGGUAAAUUCUAUCGGCGCGUAUUUUCCGAAUAAGUAGGCUACGACAUAAAUAAUCGAUAAAAAAAUGAUGACCCACCCGUAGAUAUCUACCGGACGGUUAUUUUUUUUAUCGAUUAUUCGUCCGUAGGCUGGAGGUACCGACGAUAUCUAGAGUGGCUGUUUAGAUGGGGCUGGCCACCCAGAUGGGGAAGAGGAGGAACGGGAUUCGGUGCGGGUGACCCUGGCCGGUUCCCUCAACCUGGACCUAACUAGAAAUUUGAAUAGAUGAUAGUUUUCCAGCAAUUGCUUAUUUCCUUUGAAACUUCCUUCGAACUACGUCGGAUAAACGUGUCUUUGGGCCGGAAUAAAUAAAUAAUUUGGUAGGCGGGAAUGUGGUUAGAUAAGAGCCAAGUACCAAAUUAUUUACUCGGCGCUUAAUAUUUGGCCCGUUAACCCAGUCCGGUUUUAUCAGAAUGCCUGCAAAUUUGGCUGUUGGCAUUAGCGGCGGCAAAUUUUUCUUCGUCUUCGACUGGUCGGCCCUAAAAAACCGCCGGUUGUCCCAAAUCGGACAGUCCCGGUGAAAAUCGGUGACGUUUCUCCUUCCCUUACUAGCGGCAGUCGAUGGCCAGCUCCCAGUCGGGCCGGAACCGUUGGCUCUAUCGUUUACUCUUGUAUAAGAUGGUGGUAGAUCCUUUCGUUAUACGGUACCGAGAAAUUUACUUUACCUACUACCCAAAUCCUUAAAUUGUUUGUAUAGGCCACUUUAAUAUUUUACCAUUUUUCCCUCCAGCGCUUCUUUCCGCCCCAUCCGCCUAGACGUACCGGCCUGGCUGGGGGGGCGGGCGGAAACUGCGCCCCAUCGGAACGCGCUGUCGGUGCACGUGCGGUUGGGCACCGGCAUCUUUCCGACGGAACUCGGCCGCCUGGCUCCACUUCCGCCGCCCGUCAUUUGCCGGCCCCGGCCCCAGGAAUCUGGCUGGGCCGGUGGGGACUCGGAUGCUAAAUUUGCAAUUUUUCUUACGCCAGCCGCUGGUCGGCCAAAUUUGAUCGGUGUCGGACGGCCCCUAGCGCACCUUCCACGCUUGGAAUUUAACUUUUUCCGCUAGGGAGGGAAAGAGACAUCUUCCACUAUCGGCAUCACGGUUUUCCUGUUCCCAGUCUUCCGAUGGUGCGUGGUAGGCCUCUCCGGGCCGAAUUAUCUCUUCCUCGGCCGCCUUCUCCGGUAUCGGCCGAUAACGUAUACGGGAAAGAUGCCGUUGAAGGCGCGCAGGCCGGACCCAUUCCAUUUGACAUCUUAGCGUCUGGCAGUUUUUGGUUUGGUCUACGGGGGCGGGCAAGACCACGGACCCCAGGUAUUUUUUCUUCGGAGGAUCGAUUACGGCCGUGUCGGUGGCGGGUAUAGGCCGCUAUCUUUUUUUCCUUAAUAUUCUUUCUUGGCCAAGUAACGCUGCGCGGAUGGAAGUGGCGCGGUAUCUAUACCCGCUUAUAUUUUUAAAUUAUCCAUCUUUAAGCGCCACUGUAGCGCAUUUUGUAGUUUUCCGGGGAAAUUUCUGCAUUGGCUUUUCUUCUUUCGUUAUCCACCCUCUAGCUCUGACUUUCGCAGCCUGGACUAGCCGAUAAAGAAUUACCAACCACCGUAUAUCGACCGGCUGGUUGUAUAUCGACUGGAUUUUGUUGGAGAACCACCGUUUUCCCUGGGUGGUGGCGUUUUAACCUCUCCGUAACGCUAUUCUAUUACGGAUAACCCCGAUAUUACGGCCGGGCCAGCCUCUUUUCCUUCGGUUACCGGCUGAUGGAGCCGUCGACCGACCACCGGCCCCGUUGAUACCCGCUUUAACCCCGGAGAAUUUGAUCCGCACCCUUCGAAGCUGCCAUAUUUAAAUGGCGUGUUUAUCCGCCAUUUGAUAGGGUAUCGAGUAGUCCGGCCAGGGGCGGUACCGUAAAGGCCACCGAAUAGUGGUCUUAUCGCUUUUUCCAUUUUAUUCGAUACUGGGUAGCCGUGGAAGGAACUGGUCCGGUCGAUCGAAACCUAAUUCUUCGAUGGUACCAAAACUGGGUAGUCUAUUCGGCCCAGUGUGUCCGGCAGCGUCCGAAAAGGUGGCUGGCUUCCCUUCUCCGUCAACGGUGGCUAUUUAUCGGCCGCCUUCUGUCAUCCGAGGCGAUCCACUGAAAGUCAUCUUAAACGGUGGCCCACCUCGGGAACGUCUCCGACUAGAGCGGGCGUUCGGGCCUAGGCGGCCAAGGGCUAGAGCCACCCGGUCCAGCUGGCGCUGGGACCAAAGUUUCCGUGGUCGGAUGACGCUGUAACUGGGCCAGGCCGGCUAAUUCUAGUAAAUGGAAGGGGACGGAUGGGUAUUGUCGAGGCGUAGAUAGCCGGCCGGUACCGCUCCCACCCUCCUCCUUCUAACAAUGUAUAAUUUCACAGUCGAUAAACACGGCUGCGCCGGGGGAACCGGGUCGAGCUGCAUCCACUCCGCUGCCGACCACGGCUGAGGAAAAGUGGGUUUCCGCUUCUUUUCUAGUCGACCCAAUUCCGUCUCCCCCUCGAUCCGGCUGUCUUGGGUGGCAGCCGGCUUUAUACUUUUGGAG
RNAcentral lists this long non-coding RNA (3811 nucleotides) under Androctonus crassicauda. The record is from RNAcentral. Lineage: Eukaryota; Metazoa; Arthropoda; Arachnida; Scorpiones; Buthidae.